RNAcentral lists this ribosomal RNA (519 nucleotides) under uncultured Glomus. Its description in RNAcentral is "SSU rRNA". It matches the Rfam family "Eukaryotic small subunit ribosomal RNA", at positions 569 to 1092 of the family's 1831-position model. The record is from RNAcentral. Lineage: Eukaryota; Fungi; Glomeromycota; Glomeromycetes; Glomerales; Glomeraceae.
AGCAGCCGCGGUAAUUCCAGCUCCAAUAGCGUAUAUUAAAGUUGUUGCAGUUAAAAAGCUCGUAGUUGAAUUUCGGGAUCAAUAUAUCGGUCGUGCCAUUGGUACGUACUGGUAUCAUUGGUUUCUCCUUUCUGACGAACCAUGAUGUCAUUAAUUUGGUGUUAUGGGAAGUUAGGACUGUUACUUUGAAAAAAUUGAGUGUUUAAAGCAGGCUUUAGCUUGAAUACAUUAGCAUGGAAUAAUGAAAUAGGACGUUUGAUCCUAUUUUGUUGGUUUCUAGGAUUGACGUAAUGAUUAAUAGGGAUAGUUGGGGGCAUUAGUAUUCAAUUGUCAGAGGUGAAACUCUUGGAUUUAUUGAAGACUAACUACUGCGAAAGCAUUUGCCAAGGAUGUUUUCAUUAAUCAAGAACGAAAGUUAGGGAUCGAAGACGAUCAGAUACCGUCGUAGUCUUAACCAUAAACUAUGCCGACUAGGGAUCGGGAUGAUGUUAAUUUUUAUGUAUCAUUCGGCGCCUUAAC